GGCUCAGAUUGAACGCUGGCGGCAUGCCUUACACAUGCAAGUCGAACGGUAAUCAGGUUAAGCUGACGAGUGGCGAACGGGUGAGUAAUAUAUCGGAACGUGCCCAGUAGUGGGGGAUAGCCCGGCGAAAGCCGGAUUAAUACCGCAUACGACCUACGGGUGAAAGCGGGGGAUCGCAAGACCUCGCGCUAUUGGAGCGGCCGAUAUCAGAUUAGCUAGUUGGUGGGGUAAAAGCUCACCAAGGCGACGAUCUGUAGCUGGUCUGAGAGGACGACCAGCCACACUGGGACUGAGACACGGCCCAGACUCCUACGGGAGGCAGCAGUGGGGAAUUUUGGACAAUGGACGCAAGUCUGAUCCAACCAUGCCGCGUGCGGGAAGAAGGCCUUCGGGUUGUAAA
RNAcentral lists this ribosomal RNA (400 nucleotides) under Comamonadaceae bacterium Ellin6124. RNAcentral describes it as "bacterial SSU rRNA". It matches the Rfam family "Bacterial small subunit ribosomal RNA", at positions 21 to 429 of the family's 1533-position model. The record is from RNAcentral. RNAcentral also lists the same sequence under 1 other name. Lineage: Bacteria; Pseudomonadati; Pseudomonadota; Betaproteobacteria; Burkholderiales; Comamonadaceae.